This 253-nucleotide ribosomal RNA is filed under the name uncultured bacterium. RNAcentral describes it as "partial 16S ribosomal RNA". It matches the Rfam family "Bacterial small subunit ribosomal RNA", at positions 524 to 776 of the family's 1533-position model. The record is from RNAcentral.
UACGUAGGGUGCAAGCGUUGUCCGGAAUUAUUGGGCGUAAAGAGCUUGUAGGUGGUUUGUCGCGUCUGCUGUGAAAAUCCGAGGCUCAACCUCGGACUUGCAGUGGGUACGGGCAGACUAGAGUGUGGUAGGGGAGACUGGAAUUCCUGGUGUAGCGGUGGAAUGCGCAGAUAUCAGGAGGAACACCGAUGGCGAAGGCAGGUCUCUGGGCCAUUACUGACGCUGAGGAGCGAAAGCGUGGGGAGCGAACAGG